CUCAUGCUUGAGGCUACAGCCCAACG
RNAcentral lists this transfer RNA (26 nucleotides) under Uroplatus giganteus. Its description in RNAcentral is "tRNA-Tyr". Lineage: Eukaryota; Metazoa; Chordata; Lepidosauria; Squamata; Gekkonidae. The record is from RNAcentral.